UUUUAGAUGACCAACUACUUCCAUUAGAAAGCACUUUCUGUACUUUCUGCACUUUCUGUAAAGAGGCCUAUAUUUAACUUCUGGCAAUUCAUGUACUGCCCUACACCUGAAUUCUGAGUUCCCUCCAAGAGCAAGGAUUUACAUGCUACUGCAGGACCACCACCAGCUUCUCACCUACAGCUCUGCUUGCAUUACACCU
Sturnus vulgaris (Common starling) is the source of this 199-nucleotide non-coding RNA. Lineage: Eukaryota; Metazoa; Chordata; Aves; Passeriformes; Sturnidae. The record is from RefSeq and is a predicted model, not a curated record.